RNAcentral lists this long non-coding RNA (3230 nucleotides) under Mus pahari (shrew mouse). RNAcentral's name for it is "predicted gene, 19938 (MGP_PahariEiJ_G0032954.1)". Lineage: Eukaryota; Metazoa; Chordata; Mammalia; Rodentia; Muridae. The record is from RNAcentral.
CGUUGGUUCUGUCCUUCUAACUUUAUGUGGCUUCCAGGGAUUGAAUUCAGGUCAACAAGAAGUAUGGUCAGGGCUAACCUGAUGCCUGUCCAGUAUUAUAGUAGGUGUUAUGCAGUGGGUGGAAGGAGAAGUUUUCUGCAGCAUCAGACAGACUAUGAGCUCUAAUGUGAGUUUGGAGAAAGAACCACAUGGCAUAACAGUCCCACUAGCCCUACGUUGUCUAAGGUUGCACCCUAAUCUCUUUUGAGACCAUCUCAAGAGCGGCAACCACUGAGAAUAUUGAGUACCUUCCAUCAAAAGCAAAGCCAAACAGUGCAUUGGCCCUGCCAGUUCCUCUAUUCCCUUCCAGAAGCCUCAGAGUACAGUGUAGGACAUGCCCCUGCCUAUGUGUUUGCAAGGAGUGACACCAUUCCUCUGGGUGACAGCCAUGAUGAAUUACAACAGGUGGUCCCAUUCUUAUUUUCUUUGGUGGAAUGAGAAGGAGCAGAUGAGGAAAUGUGCGCCUUUAUUUGAGAUUCUAAAACUACAUCUCUCAUUCAACAGCUUGUUUAAGGGAUAAAAAGUGCCAAGCCACCCUCUUUUCAAGUAUUCAAAAUUCCCUUGUCGCCUGAACAAUAGUUUAUAGAAAUCCCUUGCCCUUUGUGACUAUAGGCAAAACAAGCUGAAAUCUCUUGCAGUUUUGUGGUCUUUGUCUUGUUUUUAAGAUUUAAUCUUUAUUUUAUGUAUAUGACUGUUUGCCUAUAUGUAUGUAUAGACACCCUAGGUGUGCAGGUACCUUUGGAGGCCUGAAGGAAGCAAAAGUCAGAUCCCUGGGGACUAGCCAUUAUGUAAAUAUUGAAAACUGAACCCAGGUCUUUUGAAAGAGCAGCAAAUGUUCCUAACUACUGUUAUAUCUUUCUAGCCCCAUGAAGUCCCGUAAAUGUGGUCUGUCCCUUUGUAGACCAUACUACUCAAAAAUUUCUAACACAGAAGCUUUAAAUUAGAUUACAUUGUAAUUUAAUAUGGCAUGUGUGUGUGUGUGUGUGUGUGUGUGUGUGUGUGUGUGUGUAGGGGGCUUGGAGAGAAGAAUGUGCCAUAUGAGGCUUGUGCAGGUCAGAAGAAACUGUAAGAAUCUGACUGCUCCAUCUACCACAUGUUUCCUAGAGAUCUAACAAUGUAGGUCUUCAGGCAUGGUAGUGAGUGCAUUUAUCUUACUAGUCCUAGUACUACAAUCCUAGUGCUACACUGUGCUGCUCAGCUUCCAAACACACACUCCAACUUGGAUCUGCCUGCUUGCAGUGCCAGCUUUUUCCAAAUAGCAGGAAUGCUGUCUGUUCCUGUGGUCCUUGGCCAUUCACGUGCACUUAUUGUUUCUGCUCCUUCUUGGAGGGUCUGCUCUUGAGACCUAUAAAUGGCCUUGACAGAGAAGAGUUUUCUCCCUUUGUCCUCAGCUGUUGGAACCCUUGGAGGGAACAGAAUACUCCCACAUCCAUGCAAGUGUCAAAGAGGCUUUAACCCUUUGACAAUUGCUGGCUCUCUUAAUUUGUUUCUCUAACACCUGACUACCACUGGAUUUAAAGCCAAUUGUUAACUUGUUUCUACUGGUAUAUAGUGUCUCAUUUUACUAGUCCUGUGAAGUUUUAACACUUUAAGAACAUAGUCUCAAGAACAUUUAAAGCUACAUGUCUUUUUAUUACAGUUGCACUUAUUUCUGUAACUUGGAAAUGAGUUCUCAGUUUCAGAUGCCAUUUAGGCAUCCAGUGGCAUAAAAGUCCAGCUGUGCUUUGCCUCUUUUCCGAGACACAUAUGCCAUCCUAGCCUUUCUCAGCAUCCUUGUUUGUAAGUGGAAAGCCUACUUGAGGUUUUCAAGUGUGACACAGGAUCACUGUCAUUUUCUACAGGAAUAGUUUGCCUGGGCUGGAAAUAUCACCCUUCGUCAUUCAUCAGAGAGUGAGGCAGGCACCUAGGCUCUGCUGAUGUUAUAAAGAUCUUUUAAAGUCAAAUAAGGUUUAUCAAGAAGUUAUUUUUCAAGAAAUUCUGUGGAUGGGAAAAAUAAAUAUACCAAAAAAAUAGCAAUUUAAAAAAAAAAAAAUCUGAUUUACCAAGCUUCUUGCUUUGUUUUCUUUUGCUUUGUUUUCUAGUGACACAGUCAUUAAAUUCUAUUGGUUCACAAAUUGUCGACAUGUUGGCAUUUUUCUUUCCGUACAAAUAGGUUGAGUUGAUUUGUCUGUGAAGACUGUAAAAUUCUUUUACAAAAUAGAAAGAAAAUCUGCAACAGCUGAAAGCAAAUGGGAAAGGAGAGACACAACUUGCAACAUACAUUUCAGAGAGCUACAUUGUCUCAAGAAAAUUCUUGCUAACUAAUCAGAAAAACUGACAAGUAAUAAUCCAUGAAAAAUGAGCCAAGAACAUGCAUAGACAGUUCAUAAAGAUAAUAAAGAUGAGUGAAUCAAUUGUUUUCUCUGAAGUCCUGUGUGUUUUCACACUAUCUGAAAUCUGUGUUUGGGGAUGUGUGAAGCCAGGGUGAACCCUUUUGUCUACUCGCAGAUCUGUGUCACUCACUUGCUUGAGCCACUUAAAGUGGCCCCAAAGUGCUUGAGGUUUUUUUGGGUUUUGUUUUUGUUUUUUGAACUCCUUCCUUAGUUUAUAUAGAAGAUAAUAGAGUUGGCUUCCCAAACAGCCAUGUCAGUUCUCAUCUUCACAUUUUAGGUGACAGACACUGGAAAGCUAUGAAAAAAUGAGAGACAGAGUAAAGGUUUCAAUCAUUUCAUGCAGCUCAAAGGGCAGUGCUGCCAGAGGAACCCCAUGUUGCAAUGUGCUUUGCCCUUCCUGGGAUGCUGACAAGGACUGCAGCAUCCUGUCCAUCUCUGCUGUACUCCUGUAGCUCAGCAGGUGGUAAUGAGGCCUCUGGGUCCAGCUGCAUUGCUUCUGGCCUUGGGACAUCUGUGCUUGAUUCCUUGAUCACUCCCUAAAUAUCUCGCACUAAAUCGUUCUUCACUUAGGCCAGUUAGAGUGGACUUAAAAAGGAGAAGUGUAUUUUGGCACAGGGUAAACACAAGGGUCAGUAGGAAGAACAGAGGCCCAUUAACAAUCAAGCUAAGUCACACCCAGAGAAGUUCAUUAAUUUUAUGUUCUACUCUCUUCACUGCUAAAGAAGAACGUGUUUCUCAAUUAAAUCUAAAUUUGCUUUCAUGUCUCCCCAUCCAAAACUCAUAUAAUGCUGUUUUCUAAGUACUUAUUUCUUCAACCAA